This is a long non-coding RNA of Sinocyclocheilus grahami, 423 nucleotides long. RefSeq lists it as uncharacterized. The record is from RefSeq and is a predicted model, not a curated record. The transcript has 2 exons. Lineage: Eukaryota; Metazoa; Chordata; Actinopteri; Cypriniformes; Cyprinidae.
UUUUUAGUCUUGAGAUGCAGUAUGUCUGAUAAUGUCUGUGUUUGUGUCGUGUCUCUCCAGAAUAAGUGAUGUGUUGUUGGCUGUAAAGUGGUCCGGCUGAAGCAGAGCUCUGGGACGUGUGGACAGACAUUGACUGUAAUGAUGGACAUCUGCUCAGGGACAGUCUGUGCAAAAGUAUAACCACUGCGGGUCACGGUGCUGGAAGCUCCAGGGGGAGACCGUACUGAUAUCCCCCUUCUUCAGGCGCGCCUUCACACACUCCAGCAUUCACUCGUAUCGCAGAGACCCGGCUGGGAUCAAACCAGCAACCUCUGAACCCGUGAGGCAGCGCUCUUACCUGCGAGCCACAGGUCUCUUACUGGAGCACAUGAAGGAACUUAUAUCUGACUGUUUACCUGUGAUUUCCCAAUAAAGAUGUUGAAG